This 558-nucleotide long non-coding RNA is filed under the name Capsicum annuum. Its description in RNAcentral is "long non-coding RNA (CANN_LNC012623)". The record is from RNAcentral. Lineage: Eukaryota; Viridiplantae; Streptophyta; Magnoliopsida; Solanales; Solanaceae.
AGAGGAUUCACAAGAUUAUGAGGGGUUUGAAAUUACAAAUUCAAGAGAUAACCUUUUUUACUGCUUAGUCUAGACUAUAUAUUAGAGAGUAGUCAAGGUGGUCAAGAAGUUCGAACUCAUACACCGUGAGAAUUUUUUGGAGUUAAGAGACAAGAGGUCUCACACUUUUGGUUAGUUUAGUGGUACCUUAUCGAGAGACGGGGAUUUUUUUUAGGAGAUAUUUUAUUCCUCAACAUAAUAGAAUAGUUGAUAAUGCUAUUCAAGCAUCUGCUGGUGGAUAUUAUAGACUAGACUCCUUCUGUUCAGGCAAAACUUCUUAAAUCAUUUUUCCUAGAUGGUCUUCAUGGUUUACAUUCUAGUUAUUUAGGAUAUUUUAGUAUAUAAUUAAUCCUAGGUCUUAUUUGAGUAUGGUAUCCUAGAGCAUCUUAAGAGGGAUUAUCCUAGAAUAAGGGGUGGAGGUCAACAACAGAGUUAUCAGGCUCUAAUUAGGGAAAUAGCACCCAAGUAGGGGUCAAAAUAUACCUUAGGCAGGUAAAGAUACACCACUAUCUGAUGGAG